GACGAACGCUGGCGGCGUGCUUAACACAUGCAAGUCGAACGGAAAGGCCCUGCUUUUGUGGGGUGCUCGAGUGGCGAACGGGUGAGUAACACGUGAGUAACCUGCCCUUGACUUUGGGAUAACUUCAGGAAACUGGGGCUCAUACCGGAUAGGAGCUCCUGCUGCAUGGUGGGGGUUGGAAAGUUUCGGCGGUUGGGGAUGGACUCGCGGCUUAUCAGCUUGUUGGUGGGGUAGUGGCUUACCAAGGCUUUGACGGGUAGCCGGCAUGAGAGGGUGACCGGCCACAUUGGGACUGAGGUACGGCGCAGACUCCUACGGGAGGCAGCAGUGGGGAAUAUUGCACAAUGGGCGGAAGCCUGAUGCAGCAACGCCGCGUGCGGGAUGACGGCCUUCGGGUUGUAAACCGCUUUCGCCUGUGACGAAGCGUGAGUGACGGUAAUGGGUAAAGAAGCACCGGCUAACUACGUG
Molecule: ribosomal RNA, 468 nt
Filed under: uncultured bacterium
Lineage: Bacteria
Description: partial 16S ribosomal RNA
Rfam family: Bacterial small subunit ribosomal RNA
Source: RNAcentral